AUAAACAUACUGUGACCUGCAAAGGUCUAAUGUAUCCAACCCUUUGUGAAACUUCUAUUUUUGCUUCGGCAGCACUCCCAACAAGUAAUAUUGUUGGUGGGUAAGGCUGUCAGAAGACCUACAAAACUAGUUUGAUGAAAUGUCAUGCAGUCUGAUAACCAUUUUUUGAGAAAUCAAAUUAUGUUA
This 186-nucleotide unclassified non-coding RNA is filed under the name uncultured fungus. RNAcentral's name for it is "sequence contains ITS1". Lineage: Eukaryota; Fungi. The record is from RNAcentral.